RNAcentral lists this long non-coding RNA (259 nucleotides) under Mytilus galloprovincialis (Mediterranean mussel). Lineage: Eukaryota; Metazoa; Mollusca; Bivalvia; Mytilida; Mytilidae. The record is from RNAcentral.
UUUGGUGGGGUUCGUGUUGUUUAUUCUUUAGUUUUCUAUGUUGUGUCAUGUGUACUAUUGUUUUUCUGUUUGUCUUUUUUUCAUUUUUAGCCAUGGCGUUGUCAGUUUGUUUUAGAUUUAUGAGUUUGACUGUCCCUUUGGUAUCUUUCGUCCCUCUUUUAGCAGCUAAAAGCUUUUUGAAACACAAAAGGCUUGUCUUUCAAACAUUUUUCAUUUUUAAAAUUAUCAGCACGGUAAGAAUACUAGCAUUCAAGUUGGA